RNAcentral lists this ribosomal RNA (773 nucleotides) under uncultured bacterium. RNAcentral's name for it is "bacterial SSU rRNA". It matches the Rfam family "Bacterial small subunit ribosomal RNA", at positions 8 to 798 of the family's 1533-position model. The record is from RNAcentral.
AGAGUUUGAUCCUGGCUCAGGACGAACGCUGGCGGCGUGCUUAACACAUGCAAGUCGAACGGAAAGGCCCUUCGGGGUACUCGAGUGGCGAACGGGUGAGUAACACGUGGGUGAUCUGCCCUGCACUUUGGGAUAAGCCUGGGAAACUGGGUCUAAUACCGAAUAGGACCACGGGCUUCAUGGUGUGUGGUGGAAAGCUUUUGCGGUGUGGGAUGGGCCCGCGGCCUAUCAGCUUGUUGGUGGGGUAAUGGCCUACCAAGGCGACGACGGGUAGCCGGCCUGAGAGGGUGACCGGCCACACUGGGACUGAGAUACGGCCCAGACUCCUACGGGAGGCAGCAGUGGGGAAUACUGCACAAUGGGCGCAAGCCUGAUGCAGCGACGCCCCGUGAGGGAUGACGGCCUUCGGGUUGUAAACCUCUUUCAAUAGGGACGAAGCGCAAGUGACGGUACCUAUAGAAGAAGCACCGGCCAACUACGUGCCAGCAGCCGCGGUAAUACGUAGGGUGCGAGCGUUGUCCGGAAUUACUGGGCGUAAAGAGCUCGUAGGUGGUUUGUCGCGUUGUUCGUGAAAACUCACAGCUUAACUGUGGGCGUGCGGGCGAUACGGGCAGACUAGAGUACUGCAGGGGAGACUGGAAUUCCUGGUGUAGCGGUGGAAUGCGCAGAUAUCAGGAGGAACACCGGUGGCGAAGGCGGGUCUCUGGGCAGUAACUGACGCUGAGGAGCGAAAGCGUGGGGAGCGAACAGGAUUAGAUACCCUGGUAGUCCAA